UACGGAAGGCAGCAGGGGGAAUAUUGCACAAUGGGCGAAAGCCUGAUGCAGCUAUGCCGCGUGUAUGAAGAAGGCCUUAGGGUUGUAAAGUACUUUCAUCGGGGAGGAAAAAACAAAACUAAUAAUUUUAUUUCUUGACGUUACCCGAAAAAGAAGCACCGGCUAACUCCGUGCCAGCAGCCGCGGUAAUACGGAGGGUGCUAGCGUUAAUCAGAAUUACUGGGCGUAAAGAGCACGUAGGUGGUUUUUUUAAAGUUCAGAUGUGAAAUCCCUGGGCUUUAACCUAGGAACUGCAUUUUGAAACUGAAAUACUAGAGUAUCGUAGAGGGAGGUAGAAUUCUAGGUGUAGCGGUGAAAUGCGUAGAUAUCUGGAGGAAUACCUGUGGCGAAAGCGGCCUCCUAAACGAAUACUGACACUGAGGGUGCGAAAGCGUGGGGAGCAAACAGGGAUUAGAUACC
Molecule: ribosomal RNA, 459 nt
Filed under: uncultured bacterium
Lineage: Bacteria
Description: bacterial SSU rRNA
Rfam family: Bacterial small subunit ribosomal RNA
Source: RNAcentral